AAACUUGAGAGUUUGAUCAUGGCUCAGAACGAACGCUGGCGGCAUGCCUAACACAUGCAAGUCGAACGAUUGCCUUCGGGUGAUAGUGGCGCACGGGUGCGUAACGCGUGGGAAUCUGCCCCUUGGUUCGGAAUAACAGCUAGAAAUGGCUGCUAAUACCGGAUGACGACGUAAGUCCAAAGAUUUAUCGCCGAGGGAUGAGCCCGCGUAGGAUUAGCUAGUUGGUGUGGUAAAGGCGCACCAAGGCGACGAUCCUUAGCUGGUCUGAGAGGAUGAUCAGCCACACUGGGACUGAGACACGGCCCAGAC
Molecule: ribosomal RNA, 309 nt
Filed under: Sphingomonas sp. CFBP 8760
Lineage: Bacteria; Pseudomonadati; Pseudomonadota; Alphaproteobacteria; Sphingomonadales; Sphingomonadaceae
Description: Bacterial small subunit ribosomal RNA
Rfam family: Bacterial small subunit ribosomal RNA
Source: Rfam by way of RNAcentral